RNAcentral lists this ribosomal RNA (321 nucleotides) under Lamproderma ovoideum. Its description in RNAcentral is "bacterial SSU rRNA". It matches the Rfam family "Eukaryotic small subunit ribosomal RNA", at positions 80 to 350 of the family's 1831-position model. The record is from RNAcentral. Lineage: Eukaryota; Evosea; Eumycetozoa; Stemonitida; Stemonitidae.
UCUGAAUCUGCGAACGGCUCCGCAAACCAGUUGUAAACUAUAGCAAGCAGGCUCGGGGUCGGCUCUCACGGGUUGGCUUCGGGCGAUAUGGAUAACCCUGGUAAUUCUGAGGCUAAUACAUGAACGUAAAACCUGGUUGACUGGGCUUCGGUCUGGGAGGCUGGGGGAUGUGUGAUUGCAGGCUUGGGUAACACCGGGAAAGGGCGCACGUCCAGACCGCGCUAUAAAGGAUGGGACCUCUUCGGGGGACCCGCCCCAGCGGCUCUUGCUGUGUGCUUCUGACCUAUCAACUAGACGGCAGCGUAAGGGACAUGCUAUGGU